Coturnix japonica (Japanese quail) is the source of this 5580-nucleotide non-coding RNA. The record is from RefSeq and is a predicted model, not a curated record. NCBI's taxonomy places the organism in Eukaryota, Metazoa, Chordata, Aves, Galliformes, Phasianidae.
GAAAAAUUAAAUGCAUCAGAUACUGAAAUGCAAGCUGAUUAAUUACACAGUUUGAGUCAGACUAGAAAUGCUAAAGUAAACUAAAGAAAGUAAGAAAGCUGCAAGACUAUGGAGUAAUAUUAUAAUAAGUAAACAAACUACAGUGUGCCUAGAAUGCACGCAUACAGCUUAUCAGAUGUCAGCCUGCUCUAACAUAACUUCCAUAGUUGAGUGAUCUUUCUCUCACAUCUUCCUUUAAAUUAAUACCUGGGGAGAACCUUUUUCAUCUUGUCCUUUGUCUUUAAAUUUUAAUAUAAUGCUCCAUACACAGUCUCGCUAUCAUUUACCAAAAAAAGACUCUGGCUGAAACUGCCUAUAGACACCUCACUCUUGAUCUUGCAAUCACUUAUUUUGGACUCAUGGAGUAAGGUCAGCUUGUAGUCACCCCUGAGUGAUAUGGAAAGGUCACGCUGUAAGAACAGGGGUUUUAUGUUUCUAGAUUUUUCACAGAAGCUAUGCAAGGCUUUGCACAGCGCCCUAAGUGCUCAGAAGGUAUGAUAGUAGGGGAUUCAAUUUAUGCUAUAAGUGAAAUCUGAGAUUGUUUUCAGAAGAACAGAUAAUGCAGAGCCUGUUGAAUGCUGUGCUGUUUGAUAUCAGGGCACUGGCAGUUCUUUAUCUGCAGCACGGAACUCAUUAGGUCCACUGAAGGCAGAAGAGACAUUAAGUGUCAGGAAGAAUUCUUGCCGCUGGAUUUCUGCAGAGUAUGGCAUAAAUGAAGAGGAGGUCUCACCAGCUCUCAGAAGAGGUAACAGUUUAGAGGCAGCCACCAAGUUAGUUAUUCCAUACAUACAGUCAUCACAGCAGAAACAUCUUCCAAGCACACAGUAAUUGCAGGCAGAUCCCUGCGAAUACUUCUAAGCAAAAGAGAGUGCAGGCACUCAACUAAACCAAAGCCUGACUUUUCCACUGAAACUCAGCCCUGUCAAAGCAGACUUCCUUGUCCUUGUAUUUAAAGGCAAUUUACCACUAUAGCAAUACAAAAUUUUGGACUUUCCACCCUCCAUAACAUUCACAAAAGAAACUUCCAACAUCUCAGGAUACUGGAUUCAUUAGUAUAAAGUACUGCUCUUAAGGAGUUUACAAUCUACUGCUCUCUGUUCUCAAAAACAGAACAAAAAUUACUUCAAUUAGUGGGCUGAUGUGCUAUAAAACUACUGUGACAAAAAUCAGACUCUCUCCCUUUACUUUGAGACCAUGAAGAGAAAAUUGAAGCUGUCAGCCUCAACAGGCCACCAAGGACUUCUGUGAAGCAAGGCUGAUUUGGUUAACUGCUCCUCUAAUACACAUAGUGGAUACUGCAGAGGGUUUCACAAACAGUCUAAGCAGAGCAGCGUAGCUACAACAUCACGUGCACAAAAACAACGUCUGCAGAUGCCACAUGUCUGAGUGCAGCCUGCACAGCUCAGAUGCUGCACACCCAACACUUCUAUCACGUAGAUGAUGGAGAGCAGGACGCCAGCACUGGGCACAUUCAGAUUUCUGGAUACCAACAGCCUGGCUAGAGUUACAGCACUGAUGCCUCUGCCAGACCUUUGAGAAAUCAAGGGCAAACAUACCCUGCCUUCCAAUUUCCAUCAGAGGAUUUCCAGGCAGCAAGAGGAGAAAAGCCCAGAAAUACUCAGACACAUCUGUUUACAGAUGCUACAAGGCACUGAGCCCCACACUUGCUUCUUCAGCAUGGAGAAAUGGACAAAUUCUAUUGCCAUUCUUUAUUAUUUUUACUUUUCAAGUGGUUGCCAUUUGCUGUAGCCAAAAAGUAGGAAACCCAGCAAUUAAAUGAUCGAGGCAGAAUCUCAGAACAUCAAAAUGACUGACAAAAAUGAAACACCUUCCUUAUUUUCUUGCCAUUAAAAAAAAAAAAAAAAAAAAAAGUUACUGUGCUAUUUGAACUUUGCUUUGUUGUGCAUUUUGGUCAACUUUUGUCUUGCUAGAUUCAGUCCAGCCACCAAAUCUAUUUCAGGAACUUUCACUCAGAAAAAUGUCUUUAACCGUAGGAAAAAAUAACCAGGGGGCAGCUCUGGUACAUUGAGCUCUACUAUCCAUCAUCUCACUUCUAAAACAAACAAAAAAACCCACUGAAAUAUUAAUUUAGCUUCUUCUCUACUAAUCUGACACCACAAUUUCCUCUGUGCUGUCUGUAUAUACUGCGUAUUUCUGCACUAUAAAUUAUGCCCCUGCUUGGGUCUCCCAUUACACACCAAAUAUGCUGCAACUUAUUCAUCAGAAUGUCAACUGCAUGACUCAUGGCAUUCCAGUACUUCAACCACGAUGCGAAUUUACUUCUGGUACAUGGUUUAACACCAUCAUUUAAUUCUACCGAGAUGUCAAAACGUAACGGCAGAGUGAUUCUGAGUGCUCUGUAAACAAGUUGCAAACAACACAUUGUUUUACACACAACCACGGGUGUAAUCUGCAGGGACAUUGGGUCUGUAAUGUGAACUUAUGCCUUUAAAGACCAAUAGUUGCCCAAAGCACUGAAGGAGAAAACUGUAUCAGUUUUCACAGAUCUCAUUUUCUGCUUUCUUCUUCCCAUUUUCACCAUCGCGGUUCCCACAAUAACCAACUGUGAGGUAACAAUUGCUGCAAAAAUGUGGAAGACUGUCAAGGAAAAAAGCAGAAAAUCUACACUAUUAAAGUGGAAACGAAGAGCAGCCAAAGAAAGACAGAUCAAACUCUCCUUCUGACUUGUUACAUAAGACUUUAGGUUCUAAAAAGCAGCAUAAAUUCACCUGCACACCAAAGUAUAUGAGGGUGGCAUAAUGUAAACAAAGUGGUCAGAACCACUGGUAUCCCUUUCUGACUGUAUAAAGGAUUCACAAAUGCCAACUGUUACAGUGUAGAAGUGAGCCGAAGCCAAAGCAGAACUGCCAGUUUUAUCUGAGCAAACAUAAAGGUAUGCAAAGACAUAGAAUACAAAAGAGAUCAGGUUGUUUCUUCCUAAUGCUGCACUGGGACACAACUGAUCUAUUUUAUUUGGUUGGACCUCAGCAUGGGUUUGGAAGCAAUACAACACAUUCAUAUCUAUGCCAAUAUAUCCUCUUUUUUUUUGCUCCCUCCACCCUUCCCUCCAGGAAAGAUGACCAUAAUAUUAUACUACUGUAGUUCUGAGAUCCUUCUUGACUGAGGAGCAGUAUUUUCCAACCUAACAGUUUACACAGCAAACUGCAUGCAGAAACCCAAAUGCCAUGGAGUCUACCUUGCUUAAAGAAUUUUGUCUUUACAAAUGCGAUGGAUUUUGCAUGAAGAAUAUCAGCAAUUUCAUUCAUUUUUUGCAAGUUGUAGAAAACCCAUCCAAAAUCUAUCACUUUACACUUAAGAAAUCUCAGACAAAGAUAUCAACAGUUAAAGCCCUCCUUCCAUCUCAGCUAAUCUUGUAAUUAGGCAAACCUGGAAUCUUACAUUCUUGAUACUGCAGUAUGUUUCUGUAUAUGAGAAUAAAAGUCUUGAAGCCAGCUCAGAAACUAACUACUUCUCACGUACAGUAUUGUUUUAUUGUAACUUUUGUGCUUGAUGUUUUCUCUUAACAAGUUGGCACAAAGCAGAGAUUUUGCAUUUUAGAGUCAUCCCUCCACCACCACCAUUUAUUUAAUGAGCACUCCUGGGUGCUCUAACCUGAACGAAUGCUCAUUAGAUUUGUGCAUCUGGCCCUAUCAGCAAUCUUCUGUAACUUCUUCCCAUGUAAGCUUAACACAGCCAUGGCCAUACCAUUUGCAGAUGAAUUAAGGUUAACUAGUCUCCCAGUGAACAGGCAAGCAACUUUUAUGGAGAGUAUACAGACCGCCAUCCUAAUGCACAAUAAAAGACUCACAGUGAAGAAGUGCUCACUUCAUGCAUUCAAAUGGAUACAUUAUCUUAUUACAAGCUGCAUCUCAAAUUUCAGCUUGGAGCUCAUUAAUUAUCUUACAUGCCGCAGAAAGGAAGAAGUUAACAGAGAAAAAGCAAAGGCACUAGAGGAUUUCAGAGAGCUCUUGGAAGGAAAUGGGAACUGAUGAGGCAAAUACACAGGGCUAGUUCACGACGAUGACAGAAACCACACAGCAGAAGCUGUCGAUACUGUCAAGAUUGAAGCAGGCUAAGGAGUAGGUCGAUGCCAAGUGAAAGAAGAGGGUGUAUUGAGCACGGCUGGGAUGAAGUUAAUUUUCUUCAUAGCAGGCCAUAGGGCGCUGUGUUUUGAAUUUGUGACCAAGACAGUACUGAUAACAUCAGUGUUUUGGCUGCUGCUGAGCAGAACUUGCAGAGCAUAAAGGCUUUUUCUUUUUCCCACUCUGCUCCCACAGCGAAGACACCAGGGUUGGUUUAGAAGAACAGCAAAUCUAAAUUGAGUAAGAAGAUGCUUCAUGUCUUACAAUGUUGUACGCAGCAAGAAAAACUGAGGGCAGAAGUAGUUAGAGACUGGCUGGGCAUCAGGCUCCUUGUGGGAUGUGAAGAGCAGUGGCCUUUGCAUCACUUUUGUGGGUUUUUUUCCUUCCUCCUUCUCACACUUAGUAAGUGCUGCCUGUAUCUCAACCCACAAAUUCUCUUGCUUCUGCUGCUCUUAUUCUCUCCUUCAUCUCUCUGGUGGGAAGAAUGAGCACAGAACCAUGUGCCGCUUAGCCACUGGCCAAAGUCAACCAACCUCAGGGGGGAAGAUCUAAAAGGAGGGGGAAAAAAAGCCAGAAGAAAACAGAGUGCAGAACCUAUCUGCUCUUCUGAGCUGCUUUUAAUUUGUGAGAAACGUGUCCGUGUGAAAAAACUCACAUGUGGACAGGAAUACUGUCUGCUAGAUUACGUUUUGUAACUCACACAAUGAAACAGAAAGGUAAGAUACCACUGACACCUCAGUGCUGUCACUGCAGCCUCGUGACUUCAAUAAGACUUACAACACACCUGCCCACCGAACAGAAGAUGUGUAACUCACUAAAACAGCACACUGGCACAAAAGCAGUUUUCCUAACAGCUUACUUCAGAAGAAAGAACCAUUUUCUUUCCCCUGCAGAACCAGCUUCUAUACAAAUGUGAAAAUACACACAGUGUGCACAUUACAAGUUAUUAAAGGGAUAUAAGGAAGUUAAGUUUGGUGCACUGCUUUACCUGCAUUUACAGUCAAAGGAAAGGAACCCCUCUAGAGGACAAUUUGAAGUAAUUAUAGUUCCACUUGGAAUCUCACAAUGAAGAAGCCCUUUCCUUCUGUCUCCAUGAAUCACAGAGGUAACCAAAGCAGGACACCACCCUCGCUCAGCUGGCUAUCUGAAAUGUCUAAACUUGGGUGGCUUAACACAACCCAGAUAUCACUGGGGAACCAAGAUAAUUCAGUUUGUAUUUGAGACGACUGCAGUCCUUAGAAUAAUUUUGAAAGUUACGACAUUUUGCUGCCAUUUCCUUAUUUACACUCACAUUUGCCAUAUCUUUUUUUUUCCUGGAUCCUCUCUUUUCAAUCUGUCCUGGGUAAACUGCAUUGUGAGGUCAAACCUAAUACUGUACAGCCAUUUUGUGUAAUUAGCUGUUAAUGAGUUUGAUGUUUUUUCCCCAAAAAUAAAAUAAAAUGGAGACCAGAUCAAUGAA